GACGAACGCUGGCGGCGUGCCUAAUACAUGCAUCGGCGACGAGUGGCGGACGGGUGAGUAAUGUCCGGGAAACUGCCCGACGGAGGGGGAUAACUACUGGAAACGGUAGCUAAUACCGCAUACCUUCGGAUGUUCCCUGAUGGAAUUAGCCAGUAGGUGGGGUAACGGCUAACCAAGGCAACGAUCCCUAGCUGAUAUGAGAGGAUGACCAGCCACACUGGGACUGAGACACGGACCAGACUCCUCCGGGAGGGAGCAGUGGGGAAUAGUGCACAAUGGGCGCAAGCCUGAUGCAGCCAUGCCGCGUGUAUGAAGAAGGCCUUCGGGUUGUAAAGUACUUUCAGCAAGGAAGCGGUACUCGCAGAAGAAGCACCGGCUAACUCCGUGCCAGCAGCCGCGGUAAUAC
Molecule: ribosomal RNA, 406 nt
Filed under: uncultured bacterium
Lineage: Bacteria
Description: partial 16S ribosomal RNA
Rfam family: Bacterial small subunit ribosomal RNA
Source: RNAcentral